This 222-nucleotide ribosomal RNA is filed under the name uncultured bacterium. RNAcentral's name for it is "partial 16S ribosomal RNA". It matches the Rfam family "Bacterial small subunit ribosomal RNA", at positions 57 to 305 of the family's 1533-position model. The record is from RNAcentral.
GCAAGUCGAGCGCUUCCAUUCGGGGCGGAGCGGCGGACGGGUUAGUAACGCGUGGGAACGUACCCUUUUCUGCGGGAUAGCCAUUGGAAACGAUGAGUAAUACCGCAUACGCCCUUCGGGGGAAAGAUUUAUCGGAGAAGGAUCGGCCCGCGUUAGAUUAGAUAGUUGGUGGGGUAAUGGCCUACCAAGUCUACGAUCUAUAGCUGGUUUGAGAGGAUGAUC